GAAGGGAGCUUGCUCCCGGAUGUUAGCGGCGGACGGGUGAGUAACACGUGGGUAACCUGCCUGUAAGACUGGGAUAACUCCGGGAAACCGGAGCUAAUACCGGAUAGUUCCUUGAACCGCAUGGUUCAAGGAUGAAAGACGGUUUCGGCUGUCACUUACAGAUGGACCCGCGGCGCAUUAGCUAGUUGGUGGGGUAAUGGCUCACCAAGGCGACGAUGCGUAGCCGACCUGAGAGGGUGAUCGGCCACACUGGGACUGAGACACGGCCCAGACUCCUACGGGAGGCAGCAGUAGGGAAUCUUCCGCAAUGGACGAAAGUCUGACGGAGCAACGCCGCGUGAGUGAUGAAGGUUUUCGGAUCGUAAAGCUCUGUUGUUAGGGAAGAACAAGUGCGAGAGUAACUGCUCGCACCUUGACGGUACCUAACCAGAAAGCCACGGCUAACUACGUGCCAGCAGCCGCGGUAAUACGUAGGUGGCAAGCGUUGUCCGGAAUUAUUGGGCGUAAAGGGCUCGCAGGCGGUUUCUUAAGUCUGAUGUGAAAGCCCCCGGCUCAACCGGGGAGGGUCAUUGGAAACUGGGAAACUUGAGUGCAGAAGAGGAGAGUGGAAUUCCACGUGUAGCGGUGAAAUGCGUAGAGAUGUGGAGGAACACCAGUGGCGAAGGCGACUCUCUGGUCUGUAACUGACGCUGAGGAGCGAAAGCGUGGGGAGCGAACAGGAUUAGAUACCCUGGUAGUCCACGCCGUAAACGAUGAGUGCUAAGUG
This 766-nucleotide ribosomal RNA is filed under the name Bacillus sp. CUA-905. RNAcentral's name for it is "bacterial SSU rRNA". It matches the Rfam family "Bacterial small subunit ribosomal RNA", at positions 71 to 822 of the family's 1533-position model. Lineage: Bacteria; Bacillati; Bacillota; Bacilli; Caryophanales; Bacillaceae. The record is from RNAcentral.